Long non-coding RNA from Haliotis rubra (blacklip abalone), 1685 nucleotides. RefSeq lists it as uncharacterized. Lineage: Eukaryota; Metazoa; Mollusca; Gastropoda; Lepetellida; Haliotidae. The transcript has 4 exons. The record is from RefSeq and is a predicted model, not a curated record.
CAAUAUAAAAAAGCUGACUAGAUUAAUAGUUGUAAUGCUGAAGACUUUUUUAACGGAUCAUGUAUUUGACAAAGGAUAUUGUGCUUAGAAUGAAAGUUGGCUUAGAAGAAUUCUGUAUUGUUGGCUUUGAAAGUUGAUGGAUCCAUAAACCUGUUUAAAAAUCACUGCGUAAAUACAUAUGUUGAAGCGAUUACAAGUGGUAGACAACAUGAUCUGCUUCCCUGCACUAGCAUGUGUGUCAUGAUGUGAAUCAUUACUGGAAAUGUACAAAUUGAAUAAGGCAUUAUCUUCAAGAUGAUCUGCAAACAGAAUGCAAGGCAAGGUAAAUACUUCCCAGCAUCUCCUGUUCUAGAUUGGUCUGUACAGUAUUGAGAUUACACUUGGAGAUAACAUGAGUCCACUUGGAGACAAUGGAAACACUCAGGUGGCAGAAUUGUAAGUGGUUGAGCAUUGUCCAUCACCUGUGCAAACACGCCAACACGCCAUGGCUACCACGAUGUGCCGAUUGGCUUUUUUCGCAGGUACGGUCUGCCAAGAUGGACUUUCACACAGUUUGGCCGGAUUGAUGUAAUUGCUGUUAAUUUGAUGUAAAAUACCCGAAGGUUUAACUUAUCUCUGUCAGUGUUUAAUUUUGAAAUCUUCUCAAACAUUUGACAAAGUUGGUCUGGUUAAUUGUUACAGUUAUGUAGAGUUGCCUGGGAAACGCUGCGAAGCUACCCUCCACAAGUAGGAUAUGCGUUUGAUAUAGAUACGUUUCCAAGGGGGGACCUGCAAUACAGAUGACCGUGUUAUCACUCUCAAGAGCUACCUUCAAGAUAGGCCGCUUUGGUGAAUUCUCUCUAAUCUGUUUUCAGGUGUUUGUGAAACAAUGAUACCGCUGUCAUGGAUGAUUUUAUUCUUCUUAAGCCACUUGACAGAAAUCAAACUCACUUCACGGAAUUAAAGGGUUGAUUCAAUUGGCAUGUAUCGACAAAAAAGGAUAAAAUGGUAUUUUGAUGAACAAAGGGUUAUCUUACUUGAAACAUAUGUUUGUGCAUGUGUCUAGAAAUGUGAGGAUUGAUGGUGUUUGGCAGAAUCAAGGAUUAAAAUGAUACUAUCUGUGAUGAUAGGUUUUGUCUUAAUAAUCGAUUUGUUUUGUUUUGAGUGAUAUUGAUCUUGAAUCUGGUUCAACAAGGUGAUCAUGCCCCACACUUUAAUAUAGACUUCACCACUGUCAUAGUGCUGUGGUCGGGUUGUGGAAUGUGGCUGUCCCAUUCCAAUUUAAAAGAAAAUAGUUAUUAUUUUAUACCUCUUCUGUCAUCAGUCAUGGAAUGUUUAGGUCUAUGUAAUAUGUUGAGGAUAUGUAUUGAUGUUUCCAGCUGGACUUUAACAGGACCUGUUGUAGACAUUGUAGAUUGUUUCACUUCCCUUCAACACUGAAUCACUUUGAAGUUUGAACAAUAUAGCAUUUGUUUUCCAUCAACACAAAAACAUUCAAUCAGUGUUCUAGGGCAUCAAUAGAAGUGAUUUUGUGGUGUUGACCAAAUUUUAUUCACCACAAUUAAAGUAUGGAAAACAGACAAGGGGGUGGGGUGGGUGAAGAUGUGCAUGAAAUUAUCUGCAAGAAAAUAUAGUCUUCAUGAAUGUUAUUCUUGACACAAAUCAUAUUCUUUAUCUUGAGUAUUUACUGGCAUUGUAUGAGACAU